UAAUACCAGCUCCUCGAGUGGUCAGGGCGUUUAUUGGGCCUAAAGCAUCCGUAGCCGGCUCAGAAGGUCUCCUGUUAAAUCCAACGGCUCAACCGUUGGCCUGCAGGAGAUACCGCUGGGCUAGGAGGCGGGAGAGGCGGACGGUACUCCGCGGGUAGGGGUAAAAUCCUUUGAUCCGCGGAAGACCACCAGUGGCGAAGGCGGUCCGCCAGAACGCGCUCGACGGUGAGGGAUGAAAGCUGGGGGAGCGAACCGGAUUAGAUACCCGGGUAGUCCCAGCUGUAAACGAUGCGAGCUAGGUGACACGACGCCUUCGGGGCAUCGUGGUGCCGCAGGGAAGCCGUUAAGCUCGCCGCCUGGGGAGUACGGACGCAAGUCUGAAACUUAAAGGAAUUGACGGACGUAGCUGA
Molecule: ribosomal RNA, 410 nt
Filed under: uncultured archaeon
Lineage: Archaea
Description: bacterial SSU rRNA
Rfam family: Archaeal small subunit ribosomal RNA
Source: RNAcentral